CAGUGGUAUAGGUGUUCCCACGGUGGUAAGACCAGGGUCCAAUCCUGACGAUGGUGGUGACGAAGGAGCUUGACAAGAUUUGCAAUCCUGUGAGAUGACUCCAAUUGUGGCCUCCAGACAGAAUACGCAAAUAACCCUGCGCCCCCUAGUGUUGAAUGCUUUGUCAGUAUGAACCCCACGAGCUUUAGCACAUUCCUGCCCAGCAUGUAUCAACGAGGGGCAGAAGCAUUCAACUGCAAAGAUAAGGUAUAAUACUCAAUAAGCGAGUGCACUCUGUUUAACUGACGGAAAACAGCCAUCAAGUGCAUCGCGUGUCAAUUUAUGCUCAUCAAAAUGCAUUGAGUCAAUGGAAGUCUAUCUUCUUGUGGGUUCCAUGACUAAAUAAAUAUUCGUAGGGUCAUAUUCCAUAUCA
Molecule: long non-coding RNA, 412 nt
Organism: Nematostella vectensis (starlet sea anemone)
Lineage: Eukaryota; Metazoa; Cnidaria; Anthozoa; Actiniaria; Edwardsiidae
Exons: 2
Source: RefSeq, a predicted model, not a curated record